UUUCCGUAGGUGAACCUGCGGAAGGAUCAUUAGUGAAUUGAAUAUCUGAGCGGUCCGGGCCGGAGUCCUCAGUAUCAAAUCAUGUUCAUAACACCUGUGUACUGUUAGGCGGCCUUGAAUACGGAAGCAGUCAGAGCCCCGGCCCACUUUGUACAGACAUUAAAGUAACAAACGUAGUUUUAUUAUAAGCUAAUAAAACUUGCAACAACUGAUCUCUUGGCUCUCGCAUCUAUUCAGAACGCAGUAGAUCGGAAGAGCACGAGAGUGAACUCCAGUGAA
This 279-nucleotide unclassified non-coding RNA is filed under the name plant metagenome. RNAcentral's name for it is "partial contains small subunit ribosomal RNA, internal transcribed spacer 1, and 5.8S ribosomal RNA". The record is from RNAcentral.